Molecule: ribosomal RNA, 490 nt
Filed under: uncultured bacterium
Lineage: Bacteria
Description: partial 16S ribosomal RNA
Rfam family: Bacterial small subunit ribosomal RNA
Source: RNAcentral
AUUGAACGCUGGCGGCAGGCCUAACACAUGCAAGUCGAACGGUAACAGGAAGAAGCUUGCUUCUUUGCUGACGAGUGGCGGACGGGUGAGUAAUGUCUGGGAAACUGCCUGAUGGAGGGGGAUAACUACUGGAAACGGUAGCUAAUACCGCAUAACGUCGCAAGACCAAAGAGGGGGACCUUCGUGCCUCUUGCCAUCGGAUGUGCCCCGAUGGGAUUAGCUAGUAGGUGGGGUAACGGCUCACCUAGGCGACGAUCCCUAGCUGGUCUGAGAGGAUGACAAGCCACACUGGAACUGAGACACGGUCCAGACUCCUACGGGAGGCAGCAGUGGGGAAUAUUGCACAAUGGGCGCAAGCCUGAUGCAGCCAUGCCGCGUGUAUGAAGAAGGCCUUCGGGUUGUAAAGUACUUUCAGCGGGGAGGAAGGGAGUAAAGUUAAUACCUUUGCUCAUUGACGUUACCCGCAGAAGAAGCACCGGCUAACUCCGUG